AACUCUUUUAGUAUUUUUUCCUUAUUUUGGCCUGAGAAAUGCAUGGUUAAAAUCUCUCGGGGUUCCUGGUAUGUAACAAUAAUAAUUGUUGGCGCCUCGUAGGUUUUUUUAUUCAGAAAGGUUUUUUUUUUAUUAUGUGAUUAUUUCUGUAAUUGAGAAGCUAUGUCACUGUUUUUAAUUGGGUGACUCUGGACUAUUUGAAAUUCAUUGUGAAAUGGGAUUUUACAGAAUCUCUUUCAAAUCGCGCACUUGGCAAAAAAAGUUUUUAAUUUUUUUUAACGUAAAUUAUUUGUAUAUCUUUCACGGGACAAUGAUGACUCGGACCUUUGGGAGGCGUGCGCGGAGCCCAAGCCAACAUGGAGAUGCCCUUAUGACACUUAUGAAAUGUGGGUUACACCGAGCGGAUGCUGUCCUUGCCCGUGUCAUAGAACGCGCGCAGAGGCAACACCCGCCAGGGUGUGGACUAUUGAGACUUCAUGGAAUCUAAAAUGAAAGCGAUGUAGUAAAUUGUGAGCUAUGGAAUAUUAAACGUAAUUUUAUAAUUGUAAAAUAUUAAACAUAUUUUACAAUUUUGAUUGAAUUUUGGGGUGACACCCACAAUUUCCGCCCCGGGUGCCACCCAUGCUAGCUACGCCACUGGGCACAGCUACAGUCAAAUUGUGAUUUAGUCGUUUUUUGUGUGACAUAUACUUCAAAUAUUUGGUGCUAACAUGUAUUUUGAUUUAUCCGCGUGCAAGCAAAAAUCCAUAAAAAAUCGCAUAGCAGAAACAGACUGAUUUAAUUAUUAUAUAAUAGUUUUAUAUUUUUCUUACUUUGCUGUAACAGUUGUACCCGUUUUUAAAGGCUAUUUUGGAUGUAGUGUAUGUUAAGAAAUACGCAAGUAAUGUUUCAGUGAUUUAUUAAAUGUCUAUACUUAAUGUAAAAAAAAAUAAUCUUUUACAUCUGUUAUUGUUGUUUCAUAGUUUCUUUAUGAUUAACUCUUAUCUAUUAACUUAAUAAUUAAAUAAGAAUAGUAUGCACGCUUACCAAAUGAAACCUUGGGCCAUCUUAAACUAUGUAUAGUAGUGACAUAAAUUUAAUUGUAAGCAAUCUCAUACCAUUGGUUAAUUUGAAGUGGUUCAAGAUUUUAAUUAGCUGUGCCUACUUCACGUGAGCGGAGGUGUAAGUUGUAAUUCAUACAUUCAUUUUAAUUUGCUGAGAGUGCCUACUUUACGUGAGCAGAGGUGUAAGUUGUAAUUCAUACAUUCAUUUUAAUUUGCUGAGAGUGCCUACUUCACGUGAGCGGAGGUGUAAGUUGUAAUUCAUACAUUCAUUUUAAUUUGCUGAGAGUGCCUACUUCACGUGGGCAGAGGUGUAAGUUGUAGUUCAUACAUUCAUUUUAAUUUGCUGAGAGUGCCUACUUCACGUGAGCGGAGGUGUGUAAGUUGUAAUUCAUACAUUCAUUUUAAUUUGCUGAGAGUGCCUACUUCACGUGAGCUGAGGUGUAAGUUAUAAUUCAUUCUUAUGGUUGCACAUGUAGCUCAUCAUUUUGUAAAAAUCGUUUUCAAAUGUCUUAUUUUCUUAUGAAAUAUUUAUGCAUGUAGUUGUUAAAAUGCUUAUAUGAGAUUUUAAUAAAUAUUUCUUAAUAAAA
Cydia splendana is the source of this 1630-nucleotide long non-coding RNA. RefSeq lists it as uncharacterized. The record is from RefSeq and is a predicted model, not a curated record. Lineage: Eukaryota; Metazoa; Arthropoda; Insecta; Lepidoptera; Tortricidae. The transcript is spliced from 2 exons.